AAUAGAUACCCCGGUAGUCCACGCCGUAAACGAUGAAUGCUAGGUGUUAGGGGUUUCGAUACCCUUGGUGCCGAAGUUAACACAUUAAGCAUUCCGCCUGGGGAGUACGGCCGCAAGGCUGAAACUCAAAGGAAUUGACGGGGACCCGCACAAGCAGUGGAGUAUGUGGUUUAAUUCGAAGCAACGCGAAGAACCUUACCAGGUCUUGACAUCCCCCUGACCGGCGCAGAGAUGUGCCUUUCCUUCGGGACAGGGGAGACAGGUGGUGCAUGGUUGUCGUCAGCUCGUGUCGUGAGAUGUUGGGUUAAGUCCCGCAACGAGCGCAACCCUUGACUUUAGUUGCCAGCAAGUAAGGUUGGGCACUCUAGAGUGACUGCCGGUGACAAACCGGAGGAAGGUGGGGAUGACGUCAAAUCAUCAUGCCCCUUAUGACCUGGGCUACACACGUACUACAAUGGCCGGUACAACGGGAAGCGAAGGAGCGAUCUGGAGCGAAUCCUUUAAAGCCGGUCUCAGUUCGGAUUGCAGGCUGCAACUCG
RNAcentral lists this ribosomal RNA (539 nucleotides) under uncultured bacterium. Its description in RNAcentral is "bacterial SSU rRNA". It matches the Rfam family "Bacterial small subunit ribosomal RNA", at positions 777 to 1314 of the family's 1533-position model. The record is from RNAcentral.